RNAcentral lists this ribosomal RNA (262 nucleotides) under uncultured bacterium. Its description in RNAcentral is "partial 16S ribosomal RNA". It matches the Rfam family "Bacterial small subunit ribosomal RNA", at positions 793 to 1055 of the family's 1533-position model. The record is from RNAcentral.
GUCCACGCCCUAAACGAUGUCGACUGGUUGUUGGGGUUUGACACUCUCAGUAACGAAGCUAACGCGUGAAGUCGACCGCCUGGGGAGUACGGCCGCAAGGUUAAAACUCAAGGAAUUGACGGGGACCCGCACAAGCGGUGGAUUAUGUGGAUUAAUUCGAUGCAACGCGAAAACCUUACCUACCCUUGACAUGUCCCGAAGCCCGGUGAGAGCCGGGGGUGCCCGAAAGGGAACGGGAACACAGGUGCUGCAUGGCUGUCGU